This 380-nucleotide unclassified non-coding RNA is filed under the name uncultured Oligoflexales bacterium. RNAcentral describes it as "contains 16S-23S intergenic spacer region". Lineage: Bacteria; Pseudomonadati; Bdellovibrionota; Oligoflexia; Oligoflexales. The record is from RNAcentral.
UCCGUGUUAACCACGGCAGUCUCUUUAGAGUGCCCAACUAAAAUGCUGGCAACUAAAGACAAGGGUUGCGCUCGUUGCGGGACUUAACCCAACAUGUCACCACACGAGCUGACGACAGCCAUGCAGCACCUGUCUUCUGGUCGUAUUGCUACGAAAGCCGUAUCUCUACGGUUGUCCAGAGAUGUCAAACCCAGGUAAGGUUCUUCGCGUUGCUUCGAAUUAAACCACAUGAUCCACCGCUUGUGCGGGCCCCCGUCAAUUCCUUUGAGUUUUAGUCUUGCGACCGUACUUCCCAGGCGGGGUACUUAGUGCGUUAGCGCCGAGUCAGCGGGGGUCAAGACCCACCAACUCUAGUACCCAUCGUUUACAGCGUGGACUAC